Acinonyx jubatus (cheetah) is the source of this 2345-nucleotide long non-coding RNA. RefSeq lists it as uncharacterized. The record is from RefSeq and is a predicted model, not a curated record. The transcript has 3 exons. NCBI's taxonomy places the organism in Eukaryota, Metazoa, Chordata, Mammalia, Carnivora, Felidae.
AUGCUUUAAUGCACAUGUUUGGAUUUUGAAAGAUGGGCUUACCAUAUCUUAGUGAGAGAAUAGUUUAUUAGAAAGGUGUGGGACAACAGCAUGGGGAAUGACAAAAAGAUUCUUAUUAAUUUGCCCAGUGGCCUCAUCAGGAAGUUGGCAUCUGAACAAAGACUUGAAGUAGUUAAAAACAUUACCCCACAUUAUAACCUGGAGGACAACAUUUUCAGGCAGAGCAAAUAACCAGUGUCAAAUUCUAAAGCAGAGGUGUACCUGGUUUCUCCCCAGAAAUAGCAAGGAAACCAGUAUGGUUUCAGCAUAUUUAGGAAAAAGAAUAGUUGGUAGAAAAUUAGUCCAAAGAGAAAAUGGGGUGAGGGGGAAAGAGGAUUAUGCAGAGUUCUAUAGGCAUGCCUUUGUGGACUUUAUUGCAGUGGAACGGAGAACCAUGGAGGAGCUGCAAGAAGAGCAGUGUGACGUAAUUUGUGUUCAAAAAGGAUUGGUCUUAUUUCUGUGUUGAGAACACACUGCGGUGAGCAAGAGAAGGAGCAAAGAGUACAGCUGAGAGGCCAUUUGAGGACCAAGAGAUAAAGGAAACCAAGGAUCUGGGACUGAAGGGAGCACCAGGGCAGGACUAAAAGCAAGAGUUUUGACUUCUCUCCCAGCUGUCAGUGCUUGUAAACAAUUCUCACACUUCAAGGAUUGGAAGACAAAUCCCUUUUUAGAAUUAGGGAUAGCCCCUGGGAGUGGGAAGUAUAAAAUGGCAUUUGUUUCCAGAAUGUGACUAUUACUGACAUCUAAUCAACCAAACCUGUUUAUCCUUCCUGGACAUGCACCCAGACUACAAUUACCAGCCCCCUUUGCAGUUAUAAUUAGGUAAGUAUUUGAUUUCAGACCAAUAAACAAAGGUAGAAAUUAUGUGAGCUACUGGCCGGCUUAUCACAUGAUAAUCUCUCAUGUGUAAUUCUCCAUGUUUGCCAUCCUUGGGGGUGGAUAUGACUUCCAGGGUUACCUUAAUAGAUGCAAUUUUAUUGACAAUUGACCUACCAAAAUCGAAAUUUCAUGUGGUUAAAUCACAUAAUAUGGAGAAAUACAAAAAUAGAAGAGACUCAAUUUCAAACCAACAUUUGGAAGACAUGACUCAACCAAAAGGCCAUUGGACAAUUUUAAGACCAAAAUUAAAAAAAAAAAAAGCAACUUUGUGAAGACACUAAGAUUUGAGAACUCAUUGGCUCCAAUUCCCCACCUAACGUGUCUAAAAUAUGUACUGAGUUUUCUUUACCCUGAUUCUACUACAUAUUUAAAGUAAAAAAUUUUUAAGCUCUAUGUUAUAGCCUUAAUUUUCAUUCUGAGAAGAUUUUUCCAAGGUUAAAAGUGCAAGAGAUGUGUUACAGGACAGAGUAUGAGCAGAUGAGGAGAGCCUUCAGACUGUAAUGCGAGUUAGUAUCUGUGAGAAAAGAAAGGGAAGGAGGUAGACAUGGGUGGGAGGAGCGUAUGAGUGUAGAACAAUGCCAAGAAAGGUCUAGCCAGCUUAAUGCAGACAUCCUGAGCCAAGGUUGUCCAAAAGGGAAGUCUGCACCUCGCCCUAAUGGGCAUGCUUUAGAACUGCUACAAUGCUCAGCCAUUGCCUGGCAGAAGUCCAUCACAACUGCGGCCUCAGCCUGAAUACAGUGGUUGAUUCAGAGAAGCAGCAUCUGGGAAUAUCAGCACAUCACGGUUGUCCCAGUAGGAAAUUCAAGCAACUUAUUUUCCUGGCUGCUACAGUCCAUCCCUGGGGCUCAUUAGAAUUUUGGCUGCUUAGCGUAGGACAAUAGGACAAGUAACGCAACACCCGUUAAGAAAGAACGGAAACAGCGAAAACAACAUACGUUUCGACCCCUCCUGCAGUCUACAUGCUAGCCUUACAUUUACUCAUAAACAAAAAUAGAAGUUCUUGCAUUUCUUCUGCAGAUUAUCCUAGCUCCUAGAAAGGAACAUCGGCCUUCUAGGGGCGAUUUCCCUGAGACAGACAGACUACUACAGGAAACAACAAAUGAGACAUUGACUAAUAGUUGGCUCUUACAGGCCCAAAGUAUUAGGAUUACAAUGCCAAUUACAGUUUCCUGCUGGAAAAUAAGAAAUUGAGUUAAUGUAUCUAGAUACCUUUUAACAAAUACUUCUUUAAAAAAAAAAAUCAUGGGGCACCUGGGUGGCUCAGUCGGUUGAGCGUCCAACUUCGGCUCAGGUCACGAUCUCAUGGUCCAUGAGUUCGAGCCCCACAUUGGGCUCUGUGCUGCCAGCUCAGAGCCUGGAGCCUGCUUUGGAUUCUGUGUCUCCCUCUCUCUCUGCUCCUCCCCUGCUUGCAAUCUGUCUGUCUCUGU